AUUGAACGCUGGCGGCAUGCUUUACACAUGCAAGUCGAACGGUAACAGGCCGCAAGGUGCUGACGAGUGGCGCACGGGUGAGUAAUGCAUCGGAACGUGCCCAGUCGUGGGGGAUAACUACUCGAAAGAGUAGCUAAUACCGCAUACGAUCUAUGGAUGAAAGCGGGGGACCGUAAGGCCUCGCGCGAUUGGAGCGGCCGAUGUCAGAUUAGGUAGUUGGUGGGGUAAAGGCUCACCAAGCCAACGAUCUGUAGCUGGUCUGAGAGGACGACCAGCCACACUGGGGCUGAGACACGGCCCAGACUCCUACGGGAGGCAGCAGUGGGGAAUUUUGGACAAUGGGCGCAAGCCUGAUCCAGCAAUGCCGCGUGCAGGAAGAAGGCCUUCGGGUUGUAAGCUGCUUUUGUACGGAACGAAACGGCUCUGGUUAAUACCCGGGGCUAAUGACGGUACCGUAAGAAUAAGCACCGGCUAACUACGUG
Molecule: ribosomal RNA, 482 nt
Filed under: uncultured bacterium
Lineage: Bacteria
Description: partial 16S ribosomal RNA
Rfam family: Bacterial small subunit ribosomal RNA
Source: RNAcentral